CCUACGGGUGGCAGCAGUAAGGAAUAUUGGACAAUGGAGGCAACUCUGAUCCAGCCAUGCCGCGUGCAGGAAGAAGGUCCUAUGGAUUGUAAACUGCUUUUGUACGGGAGAAAACCCUUCUACGUGUAGGAGGCUGAUAGUACCGUAAGAAUAAGCAUCGGCUAACUUCGUGCCAGCAGCCGCGGUAAGACGAAGGAUGCAAGCGUUAUCCGGAUUCAUUGGGUUUAAAGGGUGCGUAGGCGGAUUUAUAAGUCAGUGGUGAAAUCCCUCAGCUUAACUGAGGAACUGCCAUUGAUACUGUAGAUCUUGAGUACAGAUGAUGUUGGCGGAAUAUGACAUGUAGCGGUGAAAUGCAUAGAUAUGUCAUAGAACACCGAUUGCGAAGGCAGCUGACAAAACUGUAACUGACGCUGAGGCACGAAAGUGCGGGGAUCAAACAGGAUUAGAUACCCCUGUAGUC
This 460-nucleotide ribosomal RNA is filed under the name uncultured bacterium. RNAcentral describes it as "bacterial SSU rRNA". It matches the Rfam family "Bacterial small subunit ribosomal RNA", at positions 338 to 795 of the family's 1533-position model. The record is from RNAcentral.